This 253-nucleotide ribosomal RNA is filed under the name uncultured bacterium. Its description in RNAcentral is "partial 16S ribosomal RNA". It matches the Rfam family "Bacterial small subunit ribosomal RNA", at positions 334 to 604 of the family's 1533-position model. The record is from RNAcentral.
UGGUCCUACGGGGGGCAGCAGUGGGGGAUAUUGCACAAUGGGGGAAACCCUGAUGCAGCGAUGCCGCGUGAGUGAAGACGGCCUUCGGGCUGUAAAGCUCUGUCGCAGGGGACGAAAAUGACGGUACCCUGCAAGAAAGCUCCGGCUAACUACGUGCCAGCAGCCGCGGUAAUACGUAGGGAGCAAGCGUUGUCCGGAAUUACUGGGUGUAAAGGGAGCGUAGGCGGGAGGAUAGGUUGAAUGGGAAAUUCAU